UCAUAAUUCUUGCCUAGGAACUGGGUGCAUUUUCCUGUGUGUGUGUUUGUGUGUGUGUGUGUGUGUUCACCUGCUCAUUCUCCCUCUCCUGCAGAUCUCCUGCUCUGGGAUUUCAGCUCUAUAAGGAACUACGUCUUAAAGUAUGAAUAGUUCUCGAAUGCCUUAUAGAAAGAUCUCUGAGAUAUAUGAAAGUAUGGAGACAGAAAUUGUUGGCCCGUGUUACAGAAAUGAUUGUAAAGAGAUGCUCAAAGCCCAGACCUGUCCACAGGAUACCUGGCUGCUGCCAAGAGAAAACAGAGGAGCAGUAUUUGAGUCUGAACACAGAGAAAAUCAGAAGGUCUCAGGAAAGAGUCUUUAGAGAAUACCAACUCUUGAACAACAACAAAAAAUUACUUGGGACACAGGUGCUGUUUUUAUCAGUUAAUUCUGCUAAGAGUAUGGAUUUAAGAUGAAAGGGAAAGAGCUAAAAGAUCAAUGAUUCCCUGUCCAGAGAGUGUUGAUGAGCUGGAUUUGGAUUUGGGGCCCAUUGGCUUAAGAUACUGGAAUCCUGGGUUCUUGUCCAUGGGUGGUUCACAUUUCACAGGCACAGAAAAAAAUGUGUCUGCCUAGAGGCUAAACUGACAGAACCAGAAUCUUUUUAACUCAAUAUAGUGGGGAAAGGAGAAAAACAGUCAGAUAAACCCCGAAAAACAGUUACCAUGGAGGGUGGCAGGUAGAAACACGAAAGACGAGAUAGGGAAGAGGCAUGGCGAAGUCACAGGUGUGAUGGGGAGAGCCUUCUGUAUCAGUGGACAGAGCAUGGGGAAUUCACAGGGGUGGGGCUGGAGCUGAUGAUGCAGGUGGCUUGUCUGCUGUCACCAAGGCCUGAGGAAACUUCAAAGCAAGGUACAUCUUAGGUGCAGAAUAGGGCAAGAGGCAGGAGGUAGAGAGGCAGAAACAGUUGGUGAAUUUGAUCCCAGAGGGGGUUGCAGUGACUGGGGUCAAGAAGUAGGCUGGAUUCUCUCCAGGUUGCCAAGGGUUAUUCAGACUGACUAGUGCAUAUGCUUAGGAGGUGAUGAGUGGAGGGCAGCUUUUUAGAAGGCCUAUGGCUGGACCACAAAUACAUCUUUGGGAUUCAUUUCCAUACAUAUUAAUAAAGCUGGGUGGACUGGGAUUCAAGGAUCAGGUGGAGUUUCUUAUUGACUUAAUCAUCUAGUCAAAAAAAUGUGAAUUGAAUGCCUUUUUUAUUGGGGUGCUGAGGAUAGAGCACUGAAUGAAGGAGACAAGAGCCCUUCAGUGAUGGAGCUUAACUAAAACAUGGGAGGGAGACAGACUAAAUGUAAACAGGAUGGUCAUUCAACUAAUACAAACAUUUCAUACAGUGAUUUGUACUAUGAAAAAAAAAAAAGUGGUAAGACGGAGAGACUGCCAGUGGAGCUGUAGUGAGGUGGGCAGGCAACCUUGAUGGGGAGGUGGUCGGCGUAGACAUCUCUGAGGGCAUACUAUUCGAAUAAAGUCCUGAAUUAUGAGCUGGAUCCACAAUGUGAAGAAAUGGAGACAGAAUGGUCCAAGCAGAGGGAACCACUUUUGCAAUGGUCCUGACGGAAAACCCUACCUGGAAAGUUUCAAGCCAAGUUGUUUAGGGAAGACCUGAACAAAGACACGAAUAAAAUGAAGGAGUAAACCAUGAAGUUAAGCGGCCACGGGGAGGAAUAUUCAAGGCAGAGGCUGUAACAAAUACAAAUUAACAAAAAGGGCAUUCGUACGUAGAAGGUCAGCGGGCGAGAGGAGGAGUGGAUGUUGGGUAUUUGAGGAGUGAAGGGGUGUAUGAAAACCAGGAGAAUGACAAAUCUACUACUAGAGAAAUGAUGUGGCGGUGCCAGGCAGUGCUGUGUGCCCAUCUGAGGUUUGUGGUCAUGAAUUUAAAGUGAGACUACUCAGCUUGGUUCUGUGAUUAUUUUUUUCUUUCUCAGCAAUGUUAAGACUUAAGGAUGUCGGCACAGUAUAGGGUGAACUCAGGACCAGAGUUUAACCAAGUGAGUACGAUGAAGGGAAAAAAAAAAAAAGAGGAAGACAUCUGAGAUGCUUGUGAGUUAUUUUAAUGAUGGAAUUUAAGCUAAGGAGGGAGGAGGGGACACGAAAGGGGACGAUGAAUAGUGAAACUUCUCUAGGCUCGAACGAUUUAAAAAAAAUCUAACCCUGUAGGAGAAGAAGCCGCUUAGCUGCAUGUCAGGAAGCUGUGCACCUGUGUGGAAGUGUAGCAAUGUGUAGAUUUGAGGAUGAGAACACCAGACAGGCAUCUGGGUGGUUUUAAGAAGGAGCACAUACGUGGGGCCAGCUGGCAGAGAGGAGACUUUCCUGACCCAGAUCUCAACACAGCUUAGAAGCCUGCUCUAACCAGGAGGGCACCUUCAGGGAGUCUCAUUUGGCUAAAAGUAGAGCAUCUGACAAAUUCUUGUCUUACUCUGCUGACAGAAUCAUCAAUCAGCAAGUGGAGGGAGAGACAGGGAAGAUUCUACUUUAACAAGGAAGGAUGUCUUGGCCAAAGCGAAAUUGAUGGGAAUUUCGAGAGAAAGUGGAGCUGGUUCACUCAACUUCUCUAAAUGAGCCCAAUGCUCCUGGUUCACGAGAUCACUGAAUUCAAUAUUGGUGAUUUUUGUAGAAUGGUGAAAAAAUAUAAAAUAAUAUUGGCAAUACGUAAAGGUUCUGACUUCAAGGAAAAAGCUACUUUCUUUCUCUGCAAAAUAGCCAAAGGAAUACCAGCAAAAAGGAUAAUCAGAUGGAAAACUAAAUCGUUGCUGACCUUACCCAAAUGAUGAAGAUUAAUCAGAAGAUGUAUCUGGUGCCAACUGACAGGAAGCAGGGGUGAAGUGUUAGCAUAAAGGAAUCCCAAUCCCAAAUGGCCUCCAGGUGUCGUCACAGGGAGCUAAAUCUAUCAAUGGCAAUAAAUUGGUAAAAAGAGAAAAAGCUAUUUUUUAAUUGUGUGUUUAUAUGGAGUAGCAUCGAUACACCUUCUUGCUAGUCCUUAAGUAGCUCUGUAGUGGACUUCUUAUACUAACCUUACUGUUGAGGAAACUGAGGUUUGAUAAGGUAAUUGACUUUCUUGAAGUCUCAUAGGAUAUGAGAGAACCAAGAUUCAAGCCAGGUCAGUCUCUCUACAAAGAUCAUUCCACCAUGUCACUUGCUUCUGAGAAACAACUCUUGACGUAAAGCGUGUGUGAGAGAGCUUUGCAGUGACGAAGACAGUGGUUUUAGCUGACAGUAAACUCAUUUAGAACCAACAACGUGGUUUGGUCAUCACAAAAACACGAUCUCAGUUUGCAUCAAUAUGGGGUCGGAAUCUUAAAUGGUCACCAUGUGCACCAGCCAUGCCUAUGGUAAUGUGCCCCACUGUGAGUACCAUGAAAAGAGAUACAGACAAACCAGAUUGUAUUCCUAAAGCAAUGACCAAUUUAAUGGAAACUCAAAACUAUGGUGAAGGCUCAGCGAAGAAACUAAGCACUCAAAAAAGGGAAUAUUUAGAGGCAAUAUGAUGUCUUGCUUAACAUUUGAUGGGCUCUCUUGUGAAAGAGAAAACAGGCUUAUUCUGUUUGACGACAAAGUGACAGGACGAGGACUAAUUGAUAAAAAUCAGAGAUUCACAUAAAAUAAGGGCUAUCUGAUGAAUAUAUUAAGUUUCUCAUCCUGGUAUGUUUGCCAACUACUGAGCACAGGUAUCAUGGAAGUACUUCAAGCCUCAGAUGGGUGACUGUGUUACGUGACUUUUUUUAUUCCCUUCCAGCCCUAAGAUUCCAUGACUUUUCAUUUUAAGAAAGUCAAGUUUCUUUAUACACACGACUAUGUGGUUUUAUAACGUAUAAAUGCUAUUAUGUCAUGCCUGAUAUUUGUUCAAAAGUCAAGUCUGAUGCACUUCUUUUCCUUUUUAAAAUUGCAUUUCCCCUCCUCUUAUCCCUGCUACAGUCAUUUCAGCAGCUCUGCACCCCUAAGGGUUCAAAUCUCAGCUCUGCCACUUUCCAGCUGUGCAUCCUUGGACAAGUUACUCAACUUCUCUAUAAUAAUGCCUAGCUCAUAGGAUUAUUAUGUGGAUCAAUGAAUUCAAACUGGUGAAGCAUUUAGAACUGUGCCCAGCAUUCAGUAAGCACUCGAUAAACCUGAGCCAUUAUUACUUCUCAUGUGAUUCCAUCCAGGUCCACUGGGAGAGCACACGUUGACCAUGAAGGCUGCCCACCAUUCUAUGACUCACUCAGUCCCUCUUCAAUACCUAUUCUCUUUUUCCCCAGAUUUUCCCCUCAUACAAAUAGCGUGGCAAUAUGUAUGUGCUAUUAUGUCUUUUGUCUUGCUGUUUUUAUUUCGAUGAGAUUAAAACAGGAGCGGAUUGCUGGAUUGAAGGCUAUGUGUAUGCUUAAUUUUCAGAGACGCUGCCAUUUGGCUCUCACCAAAUAACGCUGCGAAGUCUUCACGCCACCUCCAGUAAUGCGUGGGUGCCCUUCUCCCCACGUGCCCAACAAGAGAGCUUUUUCACUUUUGCCAAAGUAAUAGGGAUUAGUAAAGUAAUAUUGCAUUUUUUCCUUUAAUUUGCAUUCCCAUAAUUUUAAGGAACUCAAAUUCAUGUUAGCUAGCCAUUUACUUAUUUUUCUACUGGGUCGUUGGUGUUUUUCUUGUCAACUUCUGAGAACUCUUUGUAUAGCGUAUAUAUUAACUCCUUAUGUGACUGCCCUUAAGACAACCUUGGUUCCAACCACGGCAUAACCAUGUUUGGCUCACUUCUGCACUACCAUUUCUACUUGAAUAUUCCUCCCUCUUUUUUUCUCCUGAGUACCUGGGAUGGAGAUUGGCUGGUAAGGAUGUAAACAUCCCACAAGAACACAGAAGGCACAUCACCCCAGAGUUCACAAGCGAGAAGAAAUAGGACUAAAGGGUGGGGUAGAUUGCAAAUACCUUGAGACAAAGCCUGUAUCUUCCAUUUUUUAAUCUCCUCCAAAUGACUUUCUUAUACAUGCGUCAAUAAAUAUUUAUAGAUUGGAUUUGACAUCUCUGAGUCUCACCGACUCAAGGGCACAGAAGAUGUAACUGAAGCUUCCUGAGUCUCACCAACAUUCUCUACCUCAAGAGCACAGAAGAUGUAAUUGAAGCUUCCAAGGUUCAGAUGCUAAACACAAAAAUGUAGGACUUUGGAGACCCCAAGCCCCAAAAGCUGGAGGUCUGUUUGGAGUCACAUUGUGUUCCUUUUGUAUCGCUGCCUCAGGAACUACUUGUAUAUUAGCAUCAAACACUGAUCAAAAGGGUGAGACCAAGGAGACUGAAAAUUCUGUAAUGCAAUGAAUCCCUUUAUCUCUGAUACUUGCGUUUGAGGACAAGUCACUGCUGAGAACCACAAAAUGUAUAUAAAGCACAUACUCUAUUCCUCUCAUGAGAGACAGGAAUCACAAAAUUGACAUUCAAGAUAUUUCAUUCAUUCAUUCAACGUAUUUAUUUAUUUUUUUUUUAAUACUGAUUACCAAACUCUGGGUGAGGCACAGGAAAUAUAAAGUCGGAUGAGAAAUUGCCCCUGCCUUCAACUUGCUCAGUUAGGAGAUGUGCUAUCACUUCUUCAAAUGUGGUAGCAGUUACUUCUGGAUGGUCGUUGGGUUUAGACCUCAAACCAUCACCUGGAGCAUCUGCUCUAGAAGUCAGUGUUUCACUGCGGACACUUUGCUAAUUCUGGUGGUGAGAAACAGAAGUACAGUUUCAGCCUCUCUUCAGUGUCUAGCCUAAGGUGAUUCACUUAGCUCCCACAUCACUGAAAUGGGAAUUCAUCCUACUAGCCUACUUCUGGGACAAGCUAUAAAACCCAUUACCCACGUGUGAGGCAUGAUUCUGACAGCCCAAGCUGGAGAAUAUCAUCAGCUGAAGUCUAGUAAGACUGGGUGAGGUGGUGGUUGAGAGAUUUCUGAAUGAGUCAGGCCUCUGGCGCUAAAUGUAUUAAUGAGUCAUUUUCCUCGCCCAGCAGACAGUGUGGCAGAAAGUGAAAGAAGAAGCCAUUCAAUGUCUGUUUUUUAAAAAUGUAUUCUGACCCUCAGUCCACCCAAGUAGAUUUCAACAUAUUUUAGCAUCUUAGACCUAAUACUUGCCACCAAAACAUUCUUAUGGUUCCUCUCAAUUUGGAAAAAGCUUGUGAGGACUUUUCUCCAGGAAUGAGGAAAUUGGUUUUCACCUCCUUUCAGGGGUUUCAGAAGAUAAAUUCCUAGCGGCCAGACACAGCAUUUAUUACCUUGCUUUGUGUAGCACCUAAAAUUCAAUUCUGAUUAUUCCAGCCUUCACUAAAAACUUCUGAAUGACAAGGAUGAUGACAAAUCAUGGACCUCACAUUCACCUGCCUUAUAUGAUUUUACAGGCCUUCAUCUCCAGUCUGUACCAGCUUCCUACCUGCGUAGCUAUACCCUGAGUCUCUUCGUAGGAGAUUUCCCAACCAAGAUCUCAAAUUGGUCAUUUCAUCUUUCUACUGCAACGUCCUCAUCUGGUCUUCCUUCCAUUCAGUCAUAAGAAGUAAAAAUCCUCUAUUAGCUCCAACUACUUAUCAUUCUUUCUCCAACACAAGCACAUGGAAGCCUGUCUAACUUUUUUUGAUGCUUCAUUCAGCUUGGGCGGCUCCAUAGUCAACUAUUAUAACAUUGCCCCCAUCAUCCUAGACCCCCUACCCGUGUGGCAUUUUGCCAUCACACCAAUCCCAAACCCCUAAUCUGCAUCCACUGUACUCUCUGGACCUGCCCUUGACAAUCUGAGACCAUGGAAUAAAGACUGAAAGUCUUAUGGGAUUUGUCUCUUGCAAAUUUACACUAUAAACUUCACCUGAUAUGCGGGGCAAUUUUAAAAUUCUGUCAGAAGACUUAAAACAUUCCUCCCAGUCAGUAUUUCCAAGUACUCCAUCUUCUUCGAAUCUCCAGCCACAUCAUUCUUGAUCUUCACAAGUUAAUUUGCCUUCUUAAUUUAUAGAAAGUGUUAAUGCUGUUUCAUAAUUCUUCCCCUUCUUCCUUCUUCACCCUCUCUCCUCUGUGUAUGUGUGUGAAUACAUGUAUCUCUAUAUCAUCUAUCUAUCUAUCUACCUACCUUCCUACCUAUCUAUCUAUCUAUUAUCUAUCUAUCUAUCAUCUAAAACUCCCUGUGGUAUCUGCCUUGGCUCGGGCUUUGUGAUAGACUUGGAAAUUGUCCAUAUUCCCCUUGAAGGAAUGACUUUCUGCCCAGUUAUGGGCAAUGUGACCAGCUCCUUCAGGGUCUACCUCAGCUGCAGAGAGUUCCCUUGCCUGACCUCACAUCCUUAUAAGAGUGGCCCACAGCUGUGACUGAAGAAAGCAAAAACAAAAAAGUCCCAGCCAUUUCUUCCCACCUUGUGGGAUGAUCAAUGAGCAACCCUCACUCUCGGACUCCUUGCCACAUCCAACCCUCUCUACCUAAUCCUGCUACUCCAUCCUUCCUUUGGAAGUGUCCAUCCUUAAUACAUAUCUUGACCCCAAACUCUGUCUCAGUAUCUCCUUCUGGAGAAGCCAGUCUAGAAGUGGUCCUAGAACACAGGCAGAAAUUCUGGCUGCUGUCUGGUAGUAAGGAGAUCAUUGCUGGUGGAAGGUGAAUCACAGAUGGCCCCUGGCACAAGGCAGCUAUGACACAGGCCUAUGUUCUCAUCCCCUGAUGACUCCACUACAAGCCCUACCUUGAUACUUCUAGACGGGCAUUUAAGGAGCUGAUGACCAUGGUUCCCUUGCUAUUUACCAGCCAUCCCUGCAAAACAGGGGGUCCAGGCUCUGUCUAAGCCAUGUCCAACUUAAAAUUUUUAGUAUAUUUAGGAAACUGAUGGCAAGUAGUUAUCAAAAAUCAGUUGGUUUGAGAGAUGGAUGAGCUUCUUGGAAAAUAAAUUGGUCUUAAGAAGACAAACUCAUAAAUGUUGUUUAAGAGCACUAGGCCAGUGUCAUGGGAGAGAUGCAGUUGUGAAUUCAGCUAAGCCUUUGCUGCUGAAAUCAUGUCUAACCUAUUUAUCCCCUCUCUGGCUUACCUCCAGCGGCCCCAAGCCCGUGCGCUUAUACCAUGGCCAUGGAGAAAGACCUUAGCGGCACCGGGCCAACAUAAUCCACUCUGGCUGCCCUAGUGUGAAACCUCAGUCAAAAGGUGAAACCCCACACAAGAGAUGAAAACCACUCUGGGUAAUACCUUAUGUCUUCGAUAUUUUCUUCCUCAGUCUUGGCUAUGACUUUUUCUCUGCUCAAAGGUGACUGUUUCUUCUGUACAGCACAGGGAACUAUACUCAAUAUUUUGUAAUAACCUUUAAUGAAAAAGAAUAUAAAAACAAAUAUUUGUAUGUACAUGCAUGACUGGGACACAGUGCUGUACAUCAGAAAUUGACACAUUGUAACUGACUCUACUUCAAUAAUUAAAAAAAAAAAAAGAAUCAUCCAACACAUGGAAACAACCCAAAUGUCCAUCAACAGAUGAUUGGCUAGGAUGACACCUGCACCCCAAUGUUCACAGCAGCAUUAUUUACAAUAGCCAAGACAUGGAAACAGCCUAAAUGUCCAUCAACAUAUGAAUGGAUAAAGAAGAUGUGGUAUAUUUAUACAAUGGAAUACUACUCAGCCAUAAAAACUGACAACAUAACACCAUUUGCAGCAAUAUGGAUGCUCCUGGAGAAUGUCAUUCUAAGUGAAGUAAGCCAGAAAGAGAAAGAAAAAUACCAUAUGAGAUUGCUCAUAUGUGGAAUCUAAAAAAAAAAAGCAUAAAUACAAAACAGAAAUAGACUCACAGACAUAGAAUACAAACUUGUGGUUGCCAAGGGGGUGGGGAGUGGGAAGAGAUAGACUGGGAUUUCAAAAUUGUAGAAUAGAUAAACAAGAUUAUACUGUAUAGCACAGGGAAAUAUAUACAAGAACUUAUGGUAGCUCACAGAGAAAAAAAUGUGACAAUGAAUAUAUAUAUGUUCAUGUAUAACUGCAAAAUUGUGCUCUACACUGGAAUUUGACACAACAUUGCAAAAUGAUUAUAAAUUAAUAAAAAAUGUUAAAAAAAAAAAAAACCCAGAUGAUUGGCUGAAGAUGUGGUAUAUAUAUAUACAAUGGAAUACUAUAAUAAAAUAAUGCCAUUUGUAGCAACACUGGAUGGACCUGCAGAUCAUCAUUCUAAGUGAAGCAAGCCAGAAAGAGAAAGGAAAAUGCCAUAUGAUAUCACUUAUACGUGGAAUCUAAAAUAAAGGGCACAGGUGAACUUAUCUACAAGACAGAAACAGACUCACAGACAUGGAGAACAAACUUAUGGUUACCAGGGGGUAAAAAGGGUGGGAAGGGAUAAAUUGGGAAUUUGAAAACUGCACCUCGGGGAGUGAUGGAAAUGUUAGCUAUCUUGAUUGUAGUAGUGGUUUCAUUGGGGUAUACAUCUAUCAAAAUUCAUCAAAUUCUACAUUUGAAGUAUGUGUAGUUUACUGUACAGGAAAUAUACCACAAUAAAGUUGUUUAAAAAAAGAAAAUUAGCAGA
Molecule: long non-coding RNA, 9471 nt
Organism: Camelus dromedarius (Arabian camel)
Lineage: Eukaryota; Metazoa; Chordata; Mammalia; Artiodactyla; Camelidae
Exons: 3
Source: RefSeq, a predicted model, not a curated record